CCUACGGGGGGCAGCAGUGGGGGAUAUUGCACAAUGGGGGGAACCCUGAUGCAGCGACGCCGCGUGGGUGAAGAAGCGCCUCGGCGCGUAAAGCCCUGUCAGCAGGGAAGAAAAUGACGGUACCUGAAGAAGAAGCCCCGGCUAACUACGUGCCAGCAGCCGCGGGAAUACGUAGGGGGCAAGCGUUAUCCGGAUUUACUGGGUGUAAAGGGGGCGCAGACGGCGAUGCAAGCCAGGAGUGAAAGCCCGGGGCCCAACCCCGGGACUGCUCUUGGAACUGCGUGGCUGGAGUGCAGGAGGGGCAGGCGGAAUUCCUGGUGUAGAGGUGAAAUGCGUAGAUAUCAGGAGGAACACCGGUGGCGAAGGUGGCCUGCUGGACUGCAACUGACGUUGAGGCCCGAAAGCGUGGGGAGCAAACAGGAUUAGAUACCCCUGUAGUC
This 440-nucleotide ribosomal RNA is filed under the name uncultured bacterium. RNAcentral describes it as "partial 16S ribosomal RNA". It matches the Rfam family "Bacterial small subunit ribosomal RNA", at positions 338 to 795 of the family's 1533-position model. The record is from RNAcentral.